ACCCAGCAGUGGGCUUCCCCGCAUGUUGCCUUUUUCAAUCUUUGCACCUCGAAGGAAAGGAAAUGGAGGCUAUGACAGAUUAGAUCUUGCCCAAGGACUCAUAGCUGGUAUUGCAGAAGUCCCCUCCUUGCAAGGAGUUUCCCCACUUUACCCCAACUGUGAGACCUUGAACAAGAAAACCUUUCUGCGCCAGACAGGGAGGCCGCCCACAGGAACCGUGUGGUUUGCAUGAACACACCCGUGCUUGAUGCACUACACCCGAAGGUUGGCCUCGCUGUGACAGCCUCCCACGGGCUGGGGUGGCUCCUGCUUCUGGACCCAUCCCCAGCCACGGUUCCGGAUAAGCAGGGCCAGGCCUGCUCCCUCUCGGCACGCCAACCGGCGGCGGGGUCCCGGAUACCGUGCAGUGAACAAGUGGCACGUGGACACAGAG
Molecule: long non-coding RNA, 433 nt
Organism: Neofelis nebulosa (Clouded leopard)
Lineage: Eukaryota; Metazoa; Chordata; Mammalia; Carnivora; Felidae
Exons: 3
Source: RefSeq, a predicted model, not a curated record